CCCGUCGCUACUACCGAUUGAAUGGCUCAGUGAGGCUUCCGGACUGGCCCAGAGAGGUCGGCAACGACCACUCAGGGCCGGAAAGCUAUCCAAACUCGGUCAUUUAGAGGAAGUAAAAGUCGUAACAAGGUCUCCGUUGGUGAACCAGCGGAGGGAUCAUUACAGAGUUGCAAAACUCCCAAACCAUUGUGAACGUUACCUAUACUGUUGCUUCGGCGGGUGGCCCCAGGUUUUUUCCUGGGUGCCCCUGGGCCCCUUGUGGGUGCCCGCCGGAGGUUACCAAACUCUUGAUAUUUAUGGCCUCUCUGAGUCUUCUGUACUGAAUAAGUCAAAACUUUCAACAACGGAUCUCUUGGUUCUGGCAUCGAUGAAGAACGCAGCGAAAUGCGAUAAGUAAUGUGAAUUGCAGAAUUCAGUGAAUCAUCGAAUCUUUGAACGCACAUUGCGCCCGCCAGUAUUCUGGCGGGCAUGCCUGUUCGAGCGUCAUUUCAACCAUCAAGCCCUCGGCUUGUGUUGGGGACCUGCGGCUGCCGCAGGCCCUAAAAAACAGUGGCGGGCUCGCUGUCACACCGAGCGUAGUAGUAUUAUCUCGCUCUGGGCGUGCUGCGGGUUCCGGCCGUUAAACCACCUUAUAACCCAAGGUUGACCUCGGAUCAGGUAGGAAGACCCGCUGAACUUAAGCAUAUCAAU
RNAcentral lists this ribosomal RNA (690 nucleotides) under Chaetomium sp. NM. RNAcentral's name for it is "eukaryotic LSU rRNA". The stretch from base 333 to 486 matches the Rfam family "5.8S ribosomal RNA". The record is from RNAcentral. Lineage: Eukaryota; Fungi; Ascomycota; Sordariomycetes; Sordariales; Chaetomiaceae.